Molecule: long non-coding RNA, 215 nt
Filed under: Nicotiana benthamiana
Lineage: Eukaryota; Viridiplantae; Streptophyta; Magnoliopsida; Solanales; Solanaceae
Description: long non-coding RNA (NBEN_LNC012565)
Source: RNAcentral
GAUAAAGUUCUUAGGGGCUUAGAGUGGGAUCUAGAAGUACAUGUACAAGAACUAGAUAUAUGACAUCUUUCUUAGGUCAACAUUGCAUAGCAUAGAACUUAGGAGUAAAGAUAAAUGUAGGCAGGUCAGCACAAAAGUAGAUUUACCCUCUAGUUCAACUUUAAAAUGUAAUUUUGAUCAGGACAAGCUCAAGAGGUUCUAAUUUCAGGUUCAUU